RNAcentral lists this ribosomal RNA (425 nucleotides) under uncultured bacterium. Its description in RNAcentral is "partial 16S ribosomal RNA". It matches the Rfam family "Bacterial small subunit ribosomal RNA", at positions 354 to 796 of the family's 1533-position model. The record is from RNAcentral.
GUUAGGAAUAUUGGACAAUGGGCGAAAGCCUGAUCCAGCCAUGCCGCGUGAACGAUGAAGGCCUUCGGGUUGUAAAGUUCUUUAGCCGAUGAUUAUAAUGACUGUAGUCGGAAAAUAAGCCCCGGCUAACUUCGUGCCAGCAGCCGCGGUAAUACGAAGGGGGCGAGCGUUAUUCGGAAUCCCUGGGCGUAAAGCGUGCGUAGGCGGUUUGGUAAGUUAGGAGUGAAAGCCCUGGGCUCAACCUUGGAAUUGCUCUGAAAACUGCAAGGCUCGAAUUUCGGAGAGGAUAGCGGAAUUUCCAGUGUAGCAGUGAAAUGCGUGGAUAUUGGAAGGAACACCAGUGGCGUAAGCGGCUAUCUGGACGAGUAUUGACGCUGAGGCACGAAAGCGUGGGGAUCAAACAGGAUUAGAAACCCCUGUAGUCC